UACGUAUGGUGCAAGCGUUAUCCGGAUUUACUGGGUGUAAAGGGAGCGUAGACGGAUGUGCAAGUCUGGAGUGAAAGCCCGGGGCUCAACCCCGGGACUGCUUUGGAAACUGUAGAUCUAGAGUGCUGGAGAGGUAAGUGGAAUUCCUAGUGUAGCGGUGAAAUGCGUAGAUAUUAGGAGGAACACCAGUGGCGAAGGCGGCUUACUGGACAGUAACUGACGUUGAGGCUCGAAAGCGUGGGGAGCAAACAGG
Molecule: ribosomal RNA, 253 nt
Filed under: uncultured bacterium
Lineage: Bacteria
Description: partial 16S ribosomal RNA
Rfam family: Bacterial small subunit ribosomal RNA
Source: RNAcentral